This 107-nucleotide small nuclear RNA is filed under the name Propithecus coquereli (Coquerel's sifaka). The record is from RNAcentral. Lineage: Eukaryota; Metazoa; Chordata; Mammalia; Primates; Indriidae.
GUGCUCGCUUUGGCAGCACAUAUACUAAAACUGGAACAAUACAGAGAAGAUUAGCAUGGCCCCUGUGCAAGGAUGACAUGCAAAUUCCAUAUUUUUAUAAAAAAUAU